This 429-nucleotide ribosomal RNA is filed under the name Verrucomicrobiota bacterium. Its description in RNAcentral is "Verrucomicrobia bacterium partial 16S ribosomal RNA". It matches the Rfam family "Bacterial small subunit ribosomal RNA", at positions 355 to 776 of the family's 1533-position model. The record is from RNAcentral. Lineage: Bacteria; Pseudomonadati; Verrucomicrobiota.
UAGGGAAUCUUCGGCAAUGGGGGGAACCCUGACCGAGCAACGCCGCGUGAGUGAAGAAGGUUUUCGGAUCGUAAAGCUCUGUUGUUAAGGAAGAACGAGUGUGAGAAUGGAAAGUUCAUGCUGUGACGGUACUUAACCAGAAAGGGACGGCUAACUACGUGCCAGCAGCCGCGGUAAUACGUAGGUCCCGAGCGUUGUCCGGAUUUAUUGGGCGUAAAGCGAGCGCAGGCGGUUAGAAAAGUCUGAAGUGAAAGGCAGUGGCUCAACCAUUGUAGGCUUUGGAAACUGUUUAACUUGAGUGCAGAAGGGGAGAGUGGAAUUCCAUGUGUAGCGGUGAAAUGCGUAGAUAUAUGGAGGAAUACCGGUGGCGAAAGCGGCUCUCUGGUCUGUAACUGACGCUGAGGCUCGAAAGCGUGGGGAGCGAACAGG